RNAcentral lists this unclassified non-coding RNA (335 nucleotides) under soil metagenome. RNAcentral's name for it is "partial contains 5.8S ribosomal RNA, internal transcribed spacer 2, and large subunit ribosomal RNA". The stretch from base 1 to 119 matches the Rfam family "5.8S ribosomal RNA", at positions 35 to 154 of the family's 154-position model. The record is from RNAcentral.
GAUGAAGAACGUAGCGAAAUGCGAUAAGUAAUGCGAAUUGCAGAAUCCGUGAGUCAUCGAAUCUUUGAACGCACAUUGCGCCCGCCAGUAUUCUGGCGGGCAUGCCUGUUCGAGCGUCAUUUCAACCAUCAAGCCCCAGGCUUGUGUUGGGGACCUGCGGCUGCCGCAGGCCCUGAAAACCAGUGGCGGGCUCGCUAGUCACACCGAGCGUAGUAGCAUACACAUCGCUCAGGGCGUGCUGCGGGUUCCGGCCGUUAAACCCCUUUUUUACCCAAGGUUGACCUCGGAUCAGGUAGGAAGACCCGCUGAACUUAAGCAUAUCAAUAAGCGGAGGA